Homo sapiens (human) is the source of this 985-nucleotide long non-coding RNA. Ensembl annotates it as long intergenic non-protein coding RNA 1500. The record is from Ensembl. NCBI's taxonomy places the organism in Eukaryota, Metazoa, Chordata, Mammalia, Primates, Hominidae.
GGUAGUAGCGCUGCCUGCAAACCAGCACCAAGGCUGCAAACGAAGCCAGAAAGAUGGUGGCCAGCACACCUAUGGCAACUAUCACCACGGUCUCCAUGCUUCCGGGGAGCUCCUGACUCAGUCCCGUUCACAUCGUCCUCAUGGGCUAAGGCUGCUGGAAGUGGCAAACUGGGGGAAGAGGAUGGCAGGAGCUAGGUUCCUCCACGACACCUCCAGAGACCUGAGGGCCUCAAGCUGCAGCUCCGGGGCACAUCCCGCUGCGCUCCCACGACGGCCCCGCGGAUGGCAAAGUCAGCGGCAUCGCCUAUGCAGGCAAUCAAAGGAUGUUGAUGGAUAAGUGUUUCAGGCAGAAUAAUGGCCCUCAAAGAUGUUGACACCAGAAUCUUCAGAACCUUUGCAUAUGUUACCUAACAUGACAAAAGGGACUUUGCUGAUGUGAUUAAGGUUAAGAACUUUGAGAAGGGAAGAUUAUCCUGGAUUAUACAGGUCGACGUUUAUUUCUUUCUGAACUUUCCUGGAGGAUCAUCGGCCAUACUCCAGCAGAAGGGUGGAUUUGAAAAAAUAACGUUUCCACGGCAACAGUGGCAGCAAUUCAAAGGAAGACGUUGGAGAAUUCACAUGCUAUUUUAGCUGGCUCUGUGAUUGCAAUCACACAAAUCAUUACAUUCCAGCGAGAUCCCAUCAACAGAAGGUUUUUCCAUUUCAGUCUGUCAAGUUUUUCAGGCAUGAAUACUGUAAGCAAGAAGAGAAAAGUUACAAUAAAUUGACAUUUAUAGUUGAAGUUGACCUCUAACCUGUGAAGCUUUCUUGAACAUUCCCUCACUGAAAACUCCUUUUCAUUACUUUUCCUGUAUUGUAUCUCUACAUGCUCAUGAGCAGUUUAAAUCAUUGGCAGAUCUGGAUAGUAUCUGCUAAAAACAUGUUGGCACCUAGAUUCCACUGUUACUAACUAAACAUGAAGCUAAAAAUAAAUGAGAGAUGCUAG